RNAcentral lists this transfer RNA (91 nucleotides) under Amylibacter sp. IMCC11727. RNAcentral's name for it is "tRNA-Ser". The record is from RNAcentral. Lineage: Bacteria; Pseudomonadati; Pseudomonadota; Alphaproteobacteria; Rhodobacterales; Paracoccaceae.
GGCUGAUUUGGUAGAUGAAUUCAAAAACUCUUAGUCGCUUGGGCGGAUUGCAAAUCCGUGUACACUGGUUCGAAUCCAGUACUCGCCUCCA